AGAAGGGUCAGUACAGAAAGAAGAGGUAACUUAUACACAUGAGGAAUGAAUAGCAAAAUAUUACACUUCUUCCUGCAAGUUUCCACAUCUAAGGAAGCUAAGGAACUUCCCCCCUCUAAAAACAAUAAUACUAAAUUCCCGAGAUUAUUAUGAGGAUUAAAUGAGGUAAUCAAUACAUUGAAGAGCUCGCUAUUAUUACUACUACUACUAUUACUGUGUGUUUCUAUUUAACUUUAUGCUGGCUUCCUACUAUAAUUGUAUUUCUGUUGUCUUUCUACCUGAUGUCCUUAUAUCAUUUUAUUGUAUUGCAGUAUUUCUAAAACCUUUUAAAAUAAUAAUUAAAACAUUGUCCUUUAUACAUAAAUGAUAUAAAUGUAAAUAAAAUGAGAACACUCUUUGCUACCCCAGCACUAAAGCCUACUGUGCAACCCUGGAACAGAUAAAGCUUGGACACAGGUACCAUCUGGCUCAAGGCGUAACUGAAUGGAAACAGUAUUUGUGUUGAAUGUGGUAGCUAUAGCUUUGCUAUAGCUUAUCCUACAUCCAGAACUUGGUUCAUGCCUUGGAACAGGUACAGGAUCAUGCAGUGCCAGGCCCCUGCCAGAUGCCCUACAUUCAAGAAGAAUGGAAAACAGCAUCCAGCCAUGGACCCUGCUUUCGAGCAGUCUUAGGUCAAUGACUGCUUUUGGAGAGGAUUUGGGAAGGAAUGAAGAGAAAAGAGAAGGCAGAUUGAAAGCUCAGAGUAUAGGAGCUCCUAUUGUGGCUCAACAGGUUAAGAACCCGACUAGUUCCAUGAGGAUGUGGGCUUCAUCCCUGACCCCCUUAGUGGGUUAAGGAUCCCACAUGGCUGUGAGCUGUGGUGUAGGUCACAGAUGUAGCUCAUAUCUGGUACUGCUGUGGCUGUGGCAUAGGCCAGCAGCUGCAACUCCAAUUCGAACCCUUAAUUUUUUUUUUUUUUUUUUUUUUACACAGCACUUAUGACACAGCUUUUUGAGCUCUAGUUUCGUCACUUGUGAAAUGGUGAUGAGGGUGCAGAGAAGACCUGAAUCACACCUUGAAGGGCUUCUUAAUCUUUUUCUUUUGACUCCUUUGACAGUCUGUUGACCCACCUGUUGACCCUACUGUUUUGUUUAGGUUCUUCCAGAAGCAGAUCCUGAAUGCAACCAACUGAUUUGAGAGAUAUAGGAAAUAAUCACAGAGAAGUGGGAAGGCAAGGCAGCCAAAAAAAUGGACAAUGAGAACUUAAUCCUGCAGGCUUUUCUGGGACAAAGAGGGCAAAACCACUUCUCAGUAUUUACCCACCUGAAAGGGGAGAGAGUUGAGAUAAUUAUAUGCCUGCUCCUGAGCAUUAGCCACCCUGCUCUGGCACUCCCAGCCUGCGUACCACGUGGGUACCAAGCAAUGCUGCUUUACAUAAUGGGUGGGAUAGAGAGUUUUCAGGCCCAGGGACGUAGACACUGGAUGUUAGAAGCCAGCUGAAGCAUCCAGAAAGGUCCGGGGAUAUGCAGAGGGACGCUUCCAACGUCUGCUACAGACUCCCUUCUCAGAAUAAUGUUUUGAAAUGCAUAAAAUAAAAUUCAUAGGAUUACAAAGAAAACCAAUUACGUUGAAAUUCAGUUCUAUCCACAGACCCCUUGGGGGACCCCAGACUAAGAAGCCCUGCUAAGGUUUCUUUUCAAUGUGAAAUUGUAUGGUUUGAUGACCUAAGAGCAUGGAUUGUGUUACUCUGCCAGGAGGUGGUUAAGUUCUGUACAGUCUCUGCAGAAACUAUUUCAGAGGAAAAAUGUGUUCCCCCAACCUGACAAUCCCCUGCAGCCCAGGGACUAUGAAUGAGGCUGCUGGCCUCUCUCACUCUCUUUUUAUUUUUUACAGUGUUUAUUUUGCCUUGUUUACGUUUCUGCGUUUUUAAUGUGUCCUUUGUAAGCCCUGAACACACUGCAGGGCAGCAAUUUGCCCGCAUUGCCUUGGGGGCCUCUCUGCCUUCCUCCGCUGUCCCCUGGGGAGCUCCAUCUUUAAAGUCCUGCACAAGGGCCCCAGAGCUCCCUGCCAUGCAGCCAUGGCGGGCUAGGGUCCAUCCUGUGGCAUCGUGGUGCCAACAGGUGUCUGCGUGCGGGGUGCUGGAGCAGGCGCCCCCCUGGGAGCUGCAUGCCGCGGAGACACCACCCACCUCCUAAUGUGCCUCCAUGGCUCUGUUACUCACAGCUAAAUUACAGUAUUAUGACUUCAUUGUUGAGUCCCAAUUCUCCUAAUUAUAGCCUAGAGAUCUAUUAUUUGAUUUGGUAACACCAAGUGCUUCUUUUCUAAAUCAUGUAAUCUCUUGUAGCUUAUUAAUGUCAGGUUUGCGCACACGCAGGGACUUGGUUGUUUGCCAGACAGAAUCAAAUUUUCAAAUUUUCGCUGUGUUAUGUUACAGGGCUUUGCUUGUUACAAUCUAAUUAUAUUGGCACUGAAAUACCGAAAACCAAUUUAUAUUAGAAAGCACUUUAACUCUUUCUUUGGAGUGAAUUUACAUGCAGAAGUGUCUGCCACACCAUUGGUCUUUUUGUUUUUCCACGGGGAACUGCCUUCUGGGAAAGAGGUGAAAACUAACAGUUCCUCUCUGUUAAAAAGUCUGCCGUUGAUGGGCUGGAACUCUGAAUGUGGCCAUUCUCUUGCUGGAAGCAUGGGGAAGGAAGGAAGCCUGCCUCUCCCAUCUCCCUACACGCUUCUUCAGGCCUCGCUGCUGGGAGUGCCACUUGCCCCAGGCACCUGGAAACCCCUCUCCUGGUGGGUGUCAAUGUUGGCAGUAUCAUCCCCAGCCUUGGACCAUUUAAUCUCCUUCCUACCCUCUUCUUCCCUUCAGAUGUAUUUUUUUCUAUGCUCUGUUUCCACUAUGGGUUCAAUGAAUCCUUUGCCCUGAAGACAUUGCCUGUUGAAGACCAAGUGGCACUUGCUGAUUAGAGAAGUUGUUCCAGCAGUGGGACCACACUCAUCAGCCUACUUUGCCUUUUCAGGAGACUCCUGUGGCUGCUGGGUUGGACGGUCAGGGUAUUUGUCUAGCCCCUCUGUUAGUCUCUCUAGCAAUGACUGUUGCUUUCUGAACCAGGAACGCUGUUCCUUGUCAGACUGUUAUCACCAGGGAAGCCUAGAUCUAAAUCAUCCAGUAUACUGCCUUUGAAAAAGAGGCCCAGCUUCCUCCUACCUCAUUUUAAAGGUCUUAUUUUUUUGGAGUGGUUUUAGGUUCACUGCAAAAUCAAAAGAUGAAGGUACAGAAAUAUCCUAAUUACCCACGCCCUCACACAGGCACCCCCUGCCAUGAACAUUUCAGCAGUGGUAGGUACAUUUGUGACCUGCCUCCAACCCUACUUUAUUCAGACCAUGCCCUUCCUCCAUCCUUAAGUCCAGACACACAGUUUUGUUUUUUUCUCCCAAUUUCUCUUUCCCACUGUAGGACAUCUGUACACGUUCUACCUGCAAUUCUGUUGUUAUUUCCGGCUCAUCUCAGAUAAAAUGUCACUUCCUUAGAGAAAACUCCCUUUCCCUCAAUUUAACCACGUACCCCCUCCACUCCAUUUUAUUUAUGCUACCUUGGAUUUAUUUGUUUCCUUCCUUAUUAUCUCUGCCCUGCCCUUCCCUCCCUGUGACUCUAAAAUCCAUGAGGGCAGAGAUUUUGUUCUGGUCACUGCUGAACUUCUAGUGCCAAGCGCAGGGCCUGGCACAUAGAUGGAGACUGGUCAAUAGCUGUGCGUAAAGGAGUAAGGGUAUCACAGGAAAUGUAUAUCCUUUGCCUUUUGGUGGAGAAGACCUGUGAUCCAGCUCUUUGGAUUGUCUAGCUCUCCCCCUCCCUUCCUUGUGCUGACCAUGUGGAUUAGCUUCAUUCUCUCCGAGGCUGGAGGGUAUGGCCAGUCUGCUGCCCCCGCGCAGGAAGCCAAGGCCAUAGCAGCUUGGCACAGAUGUGGCUUGGUCUCUCCAUCUCAACUUCUCUGCUGGAGCCUGGGCAGCUGACUCAGGACCUGUCUGAACCACAGGCCUCAUCCUCCAUGGCACCUUCUCUGGCCCUUCUCUGGACAUGGUUCUUGUGUGGUGCCUGCAUGUGUCACCUGACCAGUGGGCUGGUGGCAGCAGAGGACCCAUCAGUGGCCACGUCAAGGAUCACUCCUGUUUGUCUAAGUGAGGGAUGAAGUGGUACAAGGCCAGGAAACCCCCCUUUCACGGCAGACACUGAGUCACAGGAGGGGAGGGAAGGGUGGGAAAUAAACAAGACCUCCCCUGAAGCAGGGUGGUUAGCCAAGCACAAACGGCUGCACAGAAGUGACCCAGCAGAAACAAGGACGCAGUGAACUUGCACCACCCACAGCUCUGAACAAGACAAUCACAGAGCUGAUCUGUAGACUCAUGUGGCUACUGAAUCUCAAUUCUGACAAACCAUUGAUCACUUUUAUGGAGUGAGCCAACCCCCCUUUCUGUUUCUUUCUCUAGAAUUUUCCCCAUAAGAGUGGUGAGGUAGAGGACUCUUUAGCCACAUGUGCGUGCAAAAGAAGCCCUCCUAGGAAGCAGAAAGCCCAGGGCCUCUCUCCCCUAAUCUGUGGGUCUCCUAGAGUAUCCAAGAUGCAUUAAGAAUUGGAGAGGUGCCCUCCAUUCAGAAAGCCCAGCCAAAGACCACAAAGCAAGGUAGGUCCCUAUGCCCACUUCCUUGGAAUAAAGGCUUUGAAACACACUUCAUUCUGAGAACUUGGCCUGUUUCCUUCUCCCUGCUACGUCUUCUCUCCACAUGCUUCCUCUGUCUGGAACGCUCUCCUGCCCCAUCCUCUUUCUGCUUGUAGAAAUUUAACCCAUCUUUCACAGCCUGAUUGAAAAAUCAUCUGCUCAAAGGAGUAUUCUGGUCAGAUCCACCUGGUCAGAAUUACACUCUGCCCCCACUUGCCCUUGUCGUAAGUGGCUUGUACUAUUUCUAGCUUGGAUGAUCAUAUAUCCCAGUUUGUUUGGGACAGUCCCAGUUUAUGCCUGUUUUUCCAGCAAUUAUUAGUAACAUCUUUUAACUCUCAAAAAUGUCCCCAUUGAACAAUAGGUUAUGUGGUGUGACAGACACACCUCUGGUGAUUCCUAUUGAGUCAUGUCUUUUUCUAAUCCUUUCCCUGUGCAUGCAUGUAUGCACAGUGACUUGCUUCUAGCCAACAGAAUAUGGCAAAGGUGACAGAAUGGUCACUCCGUCGCUUACGGUACUUUAUCUGAGACUCUGUCCAGGCAGCUAAAGAGAUUCUUCUGGGGGCCUUGAAGCUGCCUGUGGAGAGAGCCACAGGAACUACAAGCAGGAAUGUAGGGCAGCUCCUAGGACUUGAAGGUCUCUGCCUUCCAGAUGCAAGAAGCCGAAUUCUGCCUGCAGCCAUGACGGCCAGAGCAGACCCUGAACUCCAGGAAGGAAACCUCUGACUUCUUGAUUGCAGCCUUUGAGAC
Molecule: long non-coding RNA, 5433 nt
Filed under: Sus scrofa (pig)
Lineage: Eukaryota; Metazoa; Chordata; Mammalia; Artiodactyla; Suidae
Description: lncRNA (ENSSSCG00060014650.1)
Source: RNAcentral